UGGGGAAUAUUGCACAAUGGGCGAAAGCCUGAUGCAGCAACGCCGCGUGAGGGACGACGGCCUUCGGGUUGUAAACCUCUUUUAGCAAGGAAGAAGCGAAAGUGACGGUACUUGCAGAAAAAGCGCCGGCUAACUACGUGCCAGCAGCCGCGGUAAUACGUAGGGCGCAAGCGUUAUCCGGAAUUAUUGGGCGUAAAGAGCUCGUAGGCGGUUUGUCGCGUCUGCUGUGAAAACCCGAGGCUCAACCUCGGGCCUGCAGUGGGUACGGGCAGACUAGAGUGCGGUAGGGGAGAUUGGAACUCCUGGUGUAGCGGUGGAAUGCGCAGAUAUCAGGAAGAACACCGAUGGCGAAGGCAGAUCUCUGGGCCGUAACUGACGCUGAGGAGCGAAAGGGUGGGGAGCAAACAGGCUUAGAUACCCUGGUAGUCCACCCGUAAACGUUGGGAACUAGUUGUGGGGUCCAUUCCACGGAUUCCGUGACGCAGCUAACGCAUUAAGUUCCCCGCCUGGGGAGUACGGCCGCAAGGCUAAACUUAAAGGAAUUGACGGGGUCAUAGCUGUUUCCU
Molecule: ribosomal RNA, 566 nt
Filed under: uncultured bacterium
Lineage: Bacteria
Description: partial 16S ribosomal RNA
Rfam family: Bacterial small subunit ribosomal RNA
Source: RNAcentral